ACUGGAACAUGAGUUAGAUCUGUAGGAGGAACUCUACACUGGUACAACCUGGGUCAGUGACACCGAGCAACCGGGAAAGCAGAUUGUCUCUAUGAGAGGGGUCACUUGUCACUUGAGAGUUAUUGAACACCUAAGAUGAUUCAGUGACCCUCUGCAUCGCAUUGUAAGUGAUUCCCAGCAAUAAACCCAACUGACCAGGUCUCCACCUCUGAAUCUGAAUUCAAGAGAGAAACGCUGAGCCAACAAGCAAUUGUCCCAUCCUGCAAUACGUUUAGCAUCCAAACCUGGAGCUCCUCCCUUAUUGCGGCACCAGUCUUUUUAAGGUUUGUGAAGAAGCCUGCUUGUGAGCUCCGCUAUCUCGUCCCAUACUGGUUGGAUCACAGGACAAGUCCAAAAGAUAUGGAUCACAUUGCCAAUUUCCCCACAACCUCUCCAGCAGAGUGGUGAAUGAUCUGGAAAGAAAGAAUGUAAUUUGGCCGGUGUAUGGUACCAAUGUAAAAUGGUUUUGUAGAGAUGCUCCUUUUGUCUAGAGCAGAGCACCAUUUUCUUUGCAUUGGAUCAAAUAGCUGUCCAGUCUUCAUCUGAUAAUGGUUGAGGUAGAAUAGCAUCUCACUUAGCCAUGUAUGGGUGCUUUAGUAGUGUGUCUGACUGCGGCUCGUUGAGUAUUUUGUAGAUCUUUGAUAUGGGACCUUUUUGUGGAAUCCCUAGUUUUGCUAGGCUCUCAAAUGGAGUAGGUGGCGUAUUUUUGAUCUCAUCACAAUAAGGUUUAAGAAAGUGUCUUAGUUGCAAAAUAUUCGAAGAAUCAGCAGGUUCCUUGCGGUAUUUUCUCUGUAAGGUCAUUGAAAGAAAACAAAUCUUUGGUAAGCGGGUUAAUCAGAUCGCUUAUUGUCUGCAACCCCAUCUGUUGUUAAAGUUCUGGGUUGAAAACUUGGGUUGUUUAGAAACAUCAGAUUUGUAGACUUCCUCAAGGAUAAUUUGGUUCUGUGUCUUUUCCACAGAGUUAACAUACUCCAUGUAGAAAAGAGUAACAUGGAAAGAUCCAUUGUGUGGGCUGGUUGAGACCAGAUGAGAUGGUUCACAUGUCCUUGUGGUGAAAAAAUAUUCUCAAUAAAACUCCAGUUGUUGUUUGAGGUCCAUCUUGACUAUGCCAGAAUUUGUUUAAGUUGAGCAGCUUCAUAGUAUUUUUGGAAGGCGGGAAUUUCAAGAAUUCCAUAGUCAAUGGAGGUUGUUAUCACUUUCCCCAAAAAUCUGUGUCUGCUAUUGCUCCAUAUGAAUUUAUGACAGCAUGAAGAAUUUCUCUUAAUACAUACAGUAUAAAGGAACAGAGAUAGGUGACGUUUGAAAUAAAUACUCAUUUUUACUGCCGAUAUUUUGCCAAACCAGGAGAUUGGAUAUGUAGACCAUUUUCCUAACAGUAGUUUCAUUUGCUGAAUUAGAGGGGUGAAGUUUUGCUUAAAAAGAUCAGAGUAUUGUGGCGUAAUUUGGGUCCCUAUGAAGGAUAUUGAGGCUGUUUUCCACUUAUACUGAAAAGAUGAUUGAAGGUCCAGCAGGGAAUUCCGUGGGAUGUUAAGUGGAAGUGCCUCGGUUUUAUUAACAUUAGCUUUAUAGUUAGAGAAUUUGCUGUAGGUGUCCAAAAUCUUAUGUAAAUUUGGUAAGGAGAUUUGUGGAUUUGUCAGCGUAAGCAACACAUUAGUGAGGUUGGGCAAUAAUGUUGGGCAGGAGGCCUGACUCACAGUUAGGGGGUUAUUUAUCAAAUUCCGGAAGAAAGAUCUCAUUAUUUUCUGAAAUAUACUCCGACCAA
Long non-coding RNA from Xenopus laevis (African clawed frog), 1801 nucleotides. RefSeq lists it as uncharacterized. Lineage: Eukaryota; Metazoa; Chordata; Amphibia; Anura; Pipidae. The record is from RefSeq and is a predicted model, not a curated record. The transcript has 3 exons.